GGGAGAUCGGAAUUCCUGGUGUAGCGGUGAAAUGCGCAGAUAUCAGGAGGAACACCGGUUGCGAAGGCGGAUCUCUGGGCCAUUACUGACGCUGAGGAGCGAAAGCGUGGGGAGCGAACAGGAUUAGAUACCCUGGUAGUCCACGCCGUAAACGUUGGGCACUAGGUGUGGGUCACAUUCCACGUGGUCCGCGCCGCAGCUAACGCAUUAAGUGCCCCGCCUGGGGAGUACGGCCGCAAGGCUAAAACUCAAAGGAAUUGACGGGGGCCCGCACAAGCAGCGGAGCAUGUGGCUUAAUUCGACGCAACGCGAAGAACCUUACCAAGGCUUGACAUACGCCGGAAAACCGUAGAGAUACGGUCCCCCUUGUGGUCGGUGUACAGGUGGUGCAUGGUUGUCGUCAGCUCGUGUCGUGAGAUGUUGGGUUAAGUCCCGCAACGAGCGCAACCCUCGUUCUGUGUUGCCAGCGGGUCAUGCCGGGGACUCACAGGAGACUGCCGGGGUCAACUCGGAGGAAGGUGGGGAUGACGUCAAAUCAUCAUGCCCCUUAUGUCUUGGGCUGCACACGUGCUACAAUGGCCGGUACAAUGAGCUGCGAUGCCGUGAGGUGGAGCGAAUCUCAAAAAGCCGGUCUCAGUUCGGAUUGGGGUCUGCAACUCGACCCCAUGAAGUCGGAGUUGCUAGUAAUCGCAGAUCAGCAUUGCUGCGGUGAAUACGUUCCCGGGCCUUGUACACACCGCCCGUCACGUCACGAAAGUCGGUAACACCCGAA
Molecule: ribosomal RNA, 772 nt
Filed under: Streptacidiphilus sp.
Lineage: Bacteria; Bacillati; Actinomycetota; Actinomycetes; Kitasatosporales; Streptomycetaceae
Description: bacterial SSU rRNA
Rfam family: Bacterial small subunit ribosomal RNA
Source: RNAcentral